Molecule: long non-coding RNA, 832 nt
Organism: Alexandromys fortis (reed vole)
Lineage: Eukaryota; Metazoa; Chordata; Mammalia; Rodentia; Cricetidae
Exons: 4
Source: RefSeq, a predicted model, not a curated record
CAAUACGUGUACCUCGUGAUUAUCGGUGAUAAUCAAUUCAUUAAAAACAAACAGCUACCCAAAUUUGGUUAAGUACUCAGGGGAUGUCCUUGUUCUCUAAUUGUGUUGGUUCGUUUCCCAAACCAGAGCUUCCAUGCUGGCAGCUUAGAUGUCUUCAUAAUCUGCGUCAGUUGUUGAAAAGGAAAAAAGAAAGAAAAAAAAAAGAGACAAAGAAAUGGAUUCCAGAUUCAAGCAGGGGCCGAGCCCAGUCCUUUCUACUCUGGUGCCAAACUGAAGGGGCACGGCUGGCUCUUGCUCUUGGCAGAGUCUCCUGGCACUGUGGCUGGUCACUGAUUGCCUUCCUUUGGUAGAAAGUUCAGCUGAGUCAGGUGACGCUAGGCUGGCAUGCGGGGCUUGGAAGGCAGGGAGACUCCUGGUGCCUGAGUUCUUGUGCACACCCCUGCCUCGGGAAAGCAGAGGCCUGGAAGAUCCCUGAGGCCGCGCAUGUCACUUUAGAAUGGUCUCCAUCCUUCGCUGUUUGACAUGGAUGCUGGGUUACUGGAGUGGGCUCGCAGGGCAGAAGACACGUGACACAUGUUGCUGCCGGAAGCUUUGCCCAGUUACUAGCGGCAACCAAGUAAUUAGAAAUUUCUGUACACUGCAGUCCUUGGUGUCACCCAGCUUCAGGAGCGGAGGGGACCCACAGCCAUCUAUACUAUGGUGAAUUCCCUUGGUUGCCGACAGGAAGCUACACCACAGGGGAUGCUCAGAUACCAGGAGCUCUGAGGAUUGCAUUGUGACUUACAGUCCGGGUCUACUGCUACCACGGUCAUCCUCCACUAAUACACAGUCU